GUAGGUGAACCUGCGGAAGGAUCAUUACUGAAAAGGGACUCCGGUCCCUGGGACAAGCCCCCGCCGAGCCCCUGGGCUCCCCGGGUGGUGACACCCCUUACCCUUUGUUUACCUUACCUCUGUUGCUUUGGCAAGGCUCCUGCCCGGGUGGUUCUGCCAGAGGGCCCCAACUCGUGGAUAGUUUAUGUUUGUCUGAGUACGAUAUAAUCGUUUACAACUUUUAACAAUGGAUCUCUUGGCUCUG
RNAcentral lists this unclassified non-coding RNA (244 nucleotides) under rhizosphere metagenome. Its description in RNAcentral is "partial ribosomal RNA internal transcribed spacer region". The record is from RNAcentral.